Long non-coding RNA from Coffea arabica (coffee), 1847 nucleotides. RefSeq lists it as uncharacterized. NCBI's taxonomy places the organism in Eukaryota, Viridiplantae, Streptophyta, Magnoliopsida, Gentianales, Rubiaceae. The record is from RefSeq and is a predicted model, not a curated record.
GGUGGCUGCUGUCCGCGUGGCUUCCUUUACCAGGUGGUGAGUGGCUUUCUUUACCAGGUGUCCAAAAAAGGCGUGAGUUGGUUUAGCUACAGUAGACAUGGAUCGGUUAUAGAGUACAUUUUAGCAACUCCAGUUGCCUUUACAAUGUGACAUUCGAAGAAGAGGUUCAGGGCAAUAUCGUCGCUCCAUUGAUAUACAAGGCCAGAAGCAGGCAGUGGGGCGUAAAUUUUGCUCGUUCCAUAGGCCACCCAUUCCCGUCCCCUUCUGAUUAUUCGAUUAUCCAUCAAACCGAAUAGCUCGUAUUCACAGCUUUCUAUCUCACUGAUUUUUUGGAGGAAACUACUUAUUGACCUUAUUUCUGAAAAGAUUUGGAAUUCAGAGACCUUAUUCACUGCCUGAGGCUUUAUGUCGCCCCUGCACCUGGGAGAAUGGGUUAUGUUGCAGCUGCUGAGAGGUGGCAUCUGUCUCUCCCUAACUGUUUCUGAGGUUUACUGAACAUAUUUCUUAAGAUAUUGACUAUGGUGUGGGCUGGUAGCCAAGUUACUAAGCUUAUCCGAGCAGGGUGGUUAUAAAGUUGGUUAGGCUACAUUAUCAUGAGAUGAUUCCCCUCUGAUGCUGUACUGAAGCAAGUGAAAAGCUUUUCUAGCUGUGAUGGUAAUUGAAAAGUAUAUUGUGUCAUUUUACCGUGACACUGGCUUGAUGGAUGUCAAAACUGAUCUCCAGGAUUUCAUGGCAAUAGCUGGGUUUUGUUUUGGACUGGCUUUCAUGGUCUUCCUUGUGCUGACAUUGCUCUGGCCAUAAAGUUUCUCACAACUUUUGCAUCCAGUUUCCCGCUGAAAGAACUCUUCUGGUGAUUCCAAUAUCAUUUAAGUAGCCAACAAACGUGGCGUAUUUGUUAAAAGACUCCACCUCGCUAACAUUUUCUUUUUAUGUGCUAAUUGUGUUUGGCUAGGAGGUUAUAGGAGGUUAUUUGAAAUAAUUACUGUAACACCUUUUAUAAUAUAAUGUAUGUGAGAUAAAAAUUUAAUUAAAAAAUAUGUUUACAAAGCAAGUAAAAUAAUAUUUAAGAAAAAUUUGAUAUCCAAACACAAGCAACGUUGACAUGAGUGUACUUAUCAAGCAUUGCCUUUCUUGUACGAAAAAAGUCUGGAACAAUCCUAUAAGCAUACUCAUUAUAAUAAAAUAUCAGAUUCUACCUACCUACCUGACGCAUAGCGUCAGGGCAGAAAACCUAGUCUAUAUAAAAGGGGGAACGUCCACUUUCUACAGUGCAGCAUGGGCCGGUUUCAGCGUAAUUCGGAUGACUUCAUGGGGUAUUUUGGUCUUUCUCUGCCAAUUAUUAAUGUGUUGCUCUCUGCCAAUUCGAUCCAAGCUGCGGGAAAGGAAAGAUUUACAAGUCCACAAUUGCGGCUGGACUUCAAUUUGCUACCAAGGAAAGGAAAAGUCAACACAGGAGCUUUUCCCCUCAAUGGCUUGCAAUAGCCUACGAGAAUGUUUCCUUUACAAGUCCACAAUUGCGGCUGGACUUCAAUUUGCUACCAAGGAAAGGAAAAGUGAACACAGGAGCUUUUCCCCUCAAUGGCUUACAAUAGCCUACGAGAAUGUCUUUCCCUUAUUAUUAUUAAUUAUUAACAUCUAAUCUAAUCUAAAAUAUAUAAAAAGAGCAACGCCCAUUUGCUACAGUGCAGCCAUGGGCCGAUUUCGACGGUACUUCGAAUGACUUCAUGGGGUAUUUUGAUCUUUCUAAUGUGGCAUAAAGGUCAAAUUUGUGGCUCCUGAAUUUUCUGAUAUUGACUUUACAUUUUCUUUCUCUAUAAUGCCCUUGGUGGUCAGGUUUUGUCCGUAAA